AGGACGAACGCUGGCGGCGUGCUUAACACAUGCAAGUCGAGCGAGGCCCUUCCUUCGGGAAGGUGCCCUAGCGGCGAACGGGUGAGUACCACGUGGGCAACCUGCCCCUAGCACUGGGAUAACUCCGGGAAACCGGGGCUAAUACCGGAUAUGACCUUUGAGGGCAUCCUCUUUGGUGUAAAGGAUUCUGGCUAGGGAUGGGCCCGCGGCCUAUCAGCUUGUUGGUGGGGUAAUGGCCUACCAAGGCGACGACGGGUAGCCGGCCUGAGAGGGCGACCGGCCACACUGGGACUGAGACACGGCCCAGACUCCUACGGGAGGCAGCAGUGGGGAAUAUUGCACAAUGGGCGAAAGCCUGAUGCAGCGACGCCGCGUGAGGGAUGACGGCCUUCGGGUUGUAAACCUCUUUCAGCAGGGACGAAGCGAAAGUGACGGUACCUGCAGAAGAAGCACCGGCCAACUACGUGCCAGCAGCCGC
This 478-nucleotide ribosomal RNA is filed under the name uncultured bacterium. Its description in RNAcentral is "SSU rRNA". It matches the Rfam family "Bacterial small subunit ribosomal RNA", at positions 26 to 518 of the family's 1533-position model. The record is from RNAcentral.